UGCAGAAUCCCGUGAACCAUCGAGUUUUUGAACGCAAGUUGCGCCCGAGGCCAUCUGGCCGAGGGCACGCCUGCCUGGGCGUCAGUUGCUCUGGAACGCUCCGUGCCCAAAUGUUCAUUCGGCCGGACGCGAAGCCUGGCCCUCCGAGCCCUCGGGCCUGACGGGCCGAAGCGUGUGGCUUGCCGAUUGGGGCCGGCUGUGGCGAGUGGUGGAUCAACCGCUCACGCGGCCCGUACGUCGCCCUCCGUUCCCCAAGAGGGAGAAGCCCUAAGGAUACCCCGGACAUGAGGAUGCCGACCGGCAACCUCGGACGAAGACCCCAGGUCAGGCGGGACCACCCGCCGAGUUUAAGCAUAUAAUUAAGCGGAGGAGAAGAAACUUACGAGGAUUCCCCUAGUAACGGCGAGCGAACCGGGACCAGCCCAGCCUUGGAAUCACGCGGCGCCGCCGCACGA
Molecule: ribosomal RNA, 455 nt
Filed under: Juncus subnodulosus
Lineage: Eukaryota; Viridiplantae; Streptophyta; Magnoliopsida; Poales; Juncaceae
Description: eukaryotic LSU rRNA
Rfam family: Eukaryotic large subunit ribosomal RNA (bases 315-455)
Source: RNAcentral